RNAcentral lists this ribosomal RNA (513 nucleotides) under Trichoderma sp. THIF23. RNAcentral's name for it is "eukaryotic LSU rRNA". The stretch from base 180 to 333 matches the Rfam family "5.8S ribosomal RNA". Lineage: Eukaryota; Fungi; Ascomycota; Sordariomycetes; Hypocreales; Hypocreaceae. The record is from RNAcentral.
CCAAUGUGACGUUACCAAACUGUUGCCUCGGCGGGAUCUCUGCCCCGGGUGCGUCGCAGCCCCGGACCAAGGCGCCCGCCGGAGGACCAACCAAAACUCUUUUUGUAUACCCCCUCGCGGGUUUUUUUAUAAUCUGAGCCUUCUCGGCGCCUCUCGUAGGCGUUUCGAAAAUGAAUCAAAACUUUCAACAACGGAUCUCUUGGUUCUGGCAUCGAUGAAGAACGCAGCGAAAUGCGAUAAGUAAUGUGAAUUGCAGAAUUCAGUGAAUCAUCGAAUCUUUGAACGCACAUUGCGCCCGCCAGUAUUCUGGCGGGCAUGCCUGUCCGAGCGUCAUUUCAACCCUCGAACCCCUCCGGGGGGUCGGCGUUGGGGAUCGGCCCUGCCUCUGGCGGUGGCCGUCUCCGAAAUACAGUGGCGGUCUCGCCGCAGCCUCUCCUGCGCAGUAGUUUGCACACUCGCAUCGGGAGCGCGGCGCGUCCACAGCCGUUAAACACCCAACUUCUGAAAUGUGAC